GACGAACGCUGGCGGCGUGCUUAACACAUGCGAGUCGAACGAUGACGACCGAGCUUGCUCGGUCUGAUUAGUGGCGAACGGGUGAGUAACACGUGAGCAACCUGCCCUUCACUCUGGGAUAACCUCGGGAAAUCGGGGCUAAUACCGGAUAUGAGCUCCUGUCGCAUGGCGGGUGUUGGAAAGUUUUUCGGUGAAGGAUGGGCUCGCGGCCUAUCAGUUUGUUGGUGAGGUAGUGGCUCACCAAGGCGAUGACGGGUAGCCGGCCUGAGAGGGCGACCUGCCACACUGGGACUGAGACACGGCCCAGACUCCUACGGGAGGCAGCAGUGGGGAAUAUUGCACAAUGGGCGAAAGCCUGAUGCAGCGACGCCGCGUGAGGGAUGACGGCCUUCGGGUUGUAAACCUCUUUCAGCAGGGAAGAAGCGAAAGUGACGGUACCUGCAGAAGAAGCGCCGGCUAACUACGUG
RNAcentral lists this ribosomal RNA (467 nucleotides) under uncultured bacterium. RNAcentral describes it as "partial 16S ribosomal RNA". It matches the Rfam family "Bacterial small subunit ribosomal RNA", at positions 28 to 507 of the family's 1533-position model. The record is from RNAcentral.